RNAcentral lists this ribosomal RNA (613 nucleotides) under Pseudoalteromonas sp. R-28020. RNAcentral's name for it is "bacterial SSU rRNA". It matches the Rfam family "Bacterial small subunit ribosomal RNA", at positions 52 to 654 of the family's 1533-position model. Lineage: Bacteria; Pseudomonadati; Pseudomonadota; Gammaproteobacteria; Alteromonadales; Pseudoalteromonadaceae. The record is from RNAcentral.
UACCAUGCAAGUCGAGCGGAACNNAGAGGAGCUUGCUCCUCUGCUGACGAGCGGCGGACGGGUGAGUAAUGCUUGGGAAUAUGCCUUAUGGUGGGGGACAACAGUUGGAAACGACUGCUAAUACCGCAUGAUGUCUACGGACCAAAGUGGGGGACCUUCGGGCCUCACGCCAUAAGAUUAGCCCAAGUGGGAUUAGCUAGUUGGUGAGGUAAUGGCUCACCAAGGCGACGAUCCCUAGCUGGUUUGAGAGGAUGAUCAGCCACACUGGGACUGAGACACGGCCCAGACUCCUACGGGAGGCAGCAGUGGGGAAUAUUGCACAAUGGGCGCAAGCCUGAUGCAGCCAUGCCGCGUGUGUGAAGAAGGCCUUCGGGUUGUAAAGCACUUUCAGUAAGGAGGAAAGGUUAAGUGUUAAUAGCACUUAGCUGUGACGUUACUUACAGAAGAAGCACCGGCUAACUCCGUGCCAGCAGCCGCGGUAAUACGGAGGGUGCGAGCGUUAAUCGGAAUUACUGGGCGUAAAGCGUACGCAGGCGGUUUGUUAAGCGAGAUGUGAAAGCCCCGGGCUCAACCUGGGAACUGCAUUUCGAACUGGCAAACUAUAGUGUGAUAG